UCCCUGGCGGUCCAGUGGUUAGGACUCGGGACUUUCACUGCCGAGGCCCUGGUUCGAUCCCUGGUCAAGGAA
Non-coding RNA from Lipotes vexillifer (Yangtze River dolphin), 72 nucleotides. The record is from the annotation of a RefSeq genome assembly. NCBI's taxonomy places the organism in Eukaryota, Metazoa, Chordata, Mammalia, Artiodactyla, Lipotidae.